This 198-nucleotide ribosomal RNA is filed under the name uncultured bacterium. RNAcentral's name for it is "partial 16S ribosomal RNA". It matches the Rfam family "Bacterial small subunit ribosomal RNA", at positions 326 to 539 of the family's 1533-position model. The record is from RNAcentral.
ACGCUCGACACCUACGGAAGGCAGCAGUGGGGAAUAUUGCACAAUGGGGGAAACCCUGAUGCAGCGACGCCGCGUGGAGGAAGAAGGUCUUCGGAUUGUAAACUCCUGUUGUUGGGGAAAAAGAGGAUGGUACCCAACAAGGAAGUGACGGCUAACUACGUGCCAGCAGCCGCGGUAAUCUGAGCGGGCUGGCAAGGC